GACGAACGCUGGCGGCGUGCUUAACACAUGCAAGUCGAACGGUAAGGCCCCUUCGGGGGUACACGAGUGGCGAACGGGUGAGUAACACGUGAGCAACCUGCCCUUGACACUGGAAUAACAGUUGGAAACAGCUGCUAAUGCCGGAUACGACCUUCGGUGGCAUCACCUGGAGGUGGAAAGUGAUUCAGCGGUCAAGGAUGGGCUCGCGGCCUAUCAGCUUGUUGGUGAGGUAACGGCUCACCAAGGCUUCGACGGGUAGCCGGCCUGAGAGGGCGACCGGCCACACUGGGACUGAGAUACGGCCCAGACUCCUACGGGAGGCAGCAGUGGGGAAUAUUGCACAAUGGGCGCAAGCCUGAUGCAGCAACGCCGCGUGCGGGAUGACGGCCUUCGGGUUGUAAACCGCUUUCAGUUCCGACGAAGCGCAAGUGACGGUAGGAACAGAAGAAGGACCGGCCAACUACGUGCCAGCAGCCGCGGUGAUACGUAGGGUCCGAGCGUUGUCCGGAAUUAUUGGGCGUAAAGGGCUUGUAGGCGGUUUGCCGCGUCGGAAGUGAAAACUCAGGGCUUAACCCUGAGCCUGCUUCCGAUACGGGCGAACUAGAGGAAUGCAGGGGAGAAUGGAAUUCCUGGUGGAGCGGUGGAAUGCGCAGAUAUCAGGAGGAACACCGGUGGCG
Molecule: ribosomal RNA, 677 nt
Filed under: uncultured Actinomycetes bacterium
Lineage: Bacteria; Bacillati; Actinomycetota; Actinomycetes
Description: bacterial SSU rRNA
Rfam family: Bacterial small subunit ribosomal RNA
Source: RNAcentral